This 479-nucleotide ribosomal RNA is filed under the name uncultured bacterium. RNAcentral describes it as "partial 16S ribosomal RNA". It matches the Rfam family "Bacterial small subunit ribosomal RNA", at positions 28 to 523 of the family's 1533-position model. The record is from RNAcentral.
GACGAACGCUGGCGGCGUGCUUAACACAUGCAAGUCGAACGGUAAGGCCCUUCGGGGGUACACGAGUGGCGAACGGGUGAGUAACACGUGGGUGAUCUGCCCUGCACUUCGGGAUAAGCCUGGGAAACUGGGUCUAAUACCGGAUAGGACCCUGGGAUGCAUGUCCUGGGGUGGAAAGCUUUUGCGGUGUGGGAUGGGCCCGCGGCCUAUCAGCUUGUUGGUGGGGUGAUGGCCUACCAAGGCGACGACGGGUAGCCGGCCUGAGAGGGUGACCGGCCACACUGGGACUGAGAUACUGCCCAGACUCCUACGGGAGGCAGCAGUGGGGAAUAUUGCACAAUGGGAGCAAGCCUGAUGCAGCGACGCCGCGUGAGGGAUGACGGCCUUCGGGUUGUAAACCUCUUUCAGCACCGACGAAGCGCAAGUGACGGUAGGUGCAGAAGAAGGACCGGCCAACUACGUGCCAGCCGCCGCUGUAA